CUUCUGCAACAAGAUUUUGGCCUGAAUUACCUGGACAGCUGUCUUAAGUUUCAACUUGACCUGCUAUGCCUGGGAGGUCACAGCUUUACACUGAAUGAGAAAUCAGAGACCCAACUAGUUGCUGUUUUUGUUUUGUUUUGUUUUUAAGAUAAAUUUUAAAUAAACAUUUGUUGAGCUAAAAUGGCUUGGAUUCAAGUUUUUUUAAAAUUUUUAUUUUGCUGGAGUAUAUAGCAUUUGCCUGUACUAUAGGACUGGCAAAAUAGACCAUAGGCCAAGGAGACCUUAUUUGUGUGUAGUGUUUUCACCUGGCAAAUUUUAAGUUACAAAACCACAAUCACAACGACAGAAAAGCAAAAUGCUCAACAAACAAGAGUCUCAGUUUAUUCUAGAUAAAAGGGGCUGUGACUUUUCGAUUUUGGGUUUUGCUACCGAAAAACCUUUCUGACCUAGGCCACAGGAGCCAGCUCCUGCCAUGGGACAUGGGUGCCUGUGACCUGAUUCUUGACUCUAAAGAAAGAUUCUGGGCUGGGGCGUGGUGGCUCACGCCUGUAAUCACAGCACUUUGGGAGGCCGAGGAGGGUGGAUCAACUGAGGUCAGGAGUUCCAGACCAGCCUGGCCAAUAUGGUGAAACCCCGUCUCUACUAAAAAUACAAAAAUCAGCCUGGCGCGGUGGCAGGUGCCUGUAAUCCCAGCUACUCAGGAGGCUGAGGCAGGAGAAUCGCUUCAACCCGGGAGGCCGAGGUUGCAAUGAGCCAAGAUCGUGCCACUGUGCUCCAGCCUGGGUGACAGAGUGAGACACAGUCUGGAAAAAAAAAAAAAAGAAAGAUUCUUUUAAAGGCUUGCAGAACCCUGUUUGAGGACAUUUAGUAGAUGCUUCCUGUGGCUUUCAGGAGGGGUUAGAGUGGGGUUGGGAUUGACACUCCCCCACCCAACUCUAGGCCUCCAAACCCAGAUUUUUUAAUUUUUUAAAAAGAAAGACAAGGCCUUGCUCUGUCGCCCAGGCUGGAAUGCAGUGGUGCCAUCAUAGCUCACUGCAGCCCCAAAAUCCUCCCACCUCAGCCUCCCAAAGUGCUGGGAUUAUAGGUGUGAGCCACCGUGCCCAGCCAAUAUGAGAACCUUAUUUAUUUAUGUAUUUUUGUGUUGACUGAUUGAUUGUAGACAUGGGGGUCUCACUACAUUGCCCAGGCUGGUCUUGAACUCCUAGACUAAGCAAUCUUCCUGCCUCCACCUCCCCAAGUGCUAGGAUGAUAGGUGUGAGCCACUGCACCCGGCUGAGAACUUUUUUAAAUCAAAAAAAGGUCCUUUAGUGGAAUAAACACUUGAUUUCUAAAACUCUUCUGAUUUCUGACAUUCUUAGAAUUUU
This 1364-nucleotide long non-coding RNA is filed under the name Homo sapiens (human). RNAcentral describes it as "HSALNT0248839". Lineage: Eukaryota; Metazoa; Chordata; Mammalia; Primates; Hominidae. The record is from RNAcentral.